Mauremys mutica (yellowpond turtle) is the source of this 307-nucleotide long non-coding RNA. RefSeq lists it as uncharacterized. The transcript has 3 exons. Lineage: Eukaryota; Metazoa; Chordata; Testudines; Geoemydidae. The record is from RefSeq and is a predicted model, not a curated record.
CUGGAAGGAAGGAAGCUGGAAUUUAUUCCACAGGCACUCUCGGUUUAUUGCAGUAAUGGGAACAUUGUACCGGUCAACAUGAACUUGCACUGCAGCAGCUCAGCCAGUAGAGAGAAAAUGGAGCGUAGUGGUAUCAUCUAGCCAGAGAGCCCAGCCCACAAGUGAGAGUCGGGGCAUGAGACAUCUGGAGUACAACCCCCAUGAGGAGCUACAGCUGCACAAGCAGAUACAGAUUAUGUGAUGAACUGAACUGUUCUGAAGGAUCUGUGAAGUGCUCUCAAUCAUCUCCAUUUCCUAACUUUCACAA